RNAcentral lists this long non-coding RNA (2665 nucleotides) under Oryza brachyantha (malo sina). RNAcentral's name for it is "long non-coding RNA (OBRA_LNC003170)". The record is from RNAcentral. Lineage: Eukaryota; Viridiplantae; Streptophyta; Magnoliopsida; Poales; Poaceae.
AGCUGGCAGCCGUCAACCGCCAACUCGUCCAGCACUCUGUACUCCACUGUCCAUAUUGCAAAUUAGCAAGCAGCAAACUCCAAAUUGAUUGAUUUCAUUUUGUUAUUAAAGUAUGAUUCCAAGCUGAUUGAUUUCAUUUUGUUAUUGAAGUAUGAUUGCAUGAACUAGUAAUUUUUAUUUUGUGCACGGUGCAUUGCCAAUUUCUUAAGUUAGAAGUUAGAAUGUUACAACAGUUGAUGGGUCAUUUUAUUUUCAAUUUAGGUCUCGAAAUGAAAAGGAGGAGGGAGCAUGCAAUUGAUCUGAAGGCUUUUUUGGAAAGAAGUGCUUCAAAGAAGACAACUCAAAAUAAAAAUCGAGGUGAAACUUAAGGUGAGGACAAUCUCAAUAGCAACCGUUCUUCUGAUCACAGUCAGAUGCUUUUGUUAUUCAAUUAAAUAUGACUUUAGGCUCAAUUUGGCAUAUUGUGUUAUAUAUCGUAUAAUCACUUAGUGUUCAAUAUUAUAUAAGCCAAUUAGUGUGAUUUUGGGUAUAGUUUUUUUUACACCGUUACAUUUCUAAUACCCAAGUUUUAAAUCGCUAGAAGUAACAGUGGCUUAGCUAGCUACAUACUUUUAUGUUUACAUACGGAUCGUUGGCAUUUGAUGCUGGCUUGCCAAAUUCCCCGUCAAGGGUGUGGCUCCACACAGCCCCGUCCCAACGGGGCUAGGGACGAUUUUGACCAUACGGGGAAUCGGGGUUGGGGCCAGGGCUAGACGAUUUUGGCCCAUGGCCCCCUGAGUUUCUUAAAAAAAAUAAAAAUAGUUGGGCCAGGCCCAAGAAUAGCAAACCUGAGAGUAUGAAUCUCAUCCAGUCCAUGUACUCACCCAUGUCGUCUUCUAGCGAUUUUUUUUAUUUUUUAAACCUUUUUAAUAAAUAAUUUUAUUACUAAACUUUGGAAGAAAAUAUUUUCACCGUAUGAACUUUUUGACCACGCCACCAACACUGACAUGGCAAAACAAAGCUACUAUGUAGAGUUUUUGUUGUGAUAGGCUUAUCACACCAUUGUCAGUGGCGUGGCAGCAUUGUCUUGCCACUCCACUGACACUAGCGUGGCAUGAUUGCCAUGCCAAUCAGACUGCGUGAUAGCGUUGUUUUGCCAUGGCACCAGCAUUGGCAUAGCUAAAAAGUUCAUACGGUUUUUAUCCGAGGUUUAUAAUAAAAUUAUUUAUACAAAAUGUUUAGAAAAUAAAAAAAAAUUCCCCUCUGGCUGCCUCAGCCCUUUGUGCCUCCUUCAGUCGUCCUCGCCUGUUGUCGCCUUCCGCCCGCCAGCCCUCCGCAGCCACCUUUCGCCCCCAACGCCCUCUGCCCUUCGCCCGAGUCGCCCAAUGUUAGCUUUGGCCCAAAGAUUAAAUGGCACACCCACACAAGUAGCAACUCACACGAGAUACAUACGCACGAGUAGCAAAUUUCAGCGGAGGCACACAUUGUAUUUUCGGCGACCAACACCGGCGGCGGCAAAGCACGUAUAGCUAUACACACACUUGCAGAUGGCUGAAAUAAGGAUGGACACAAGCUUCUUACGACAAACAUCUUUUUUCAUUGUUCACUUAGCUUAGUACAUCACAGGGCUAAUUUAUAGCCGAGUGGAUACACCACUACGUACGCGCACGACUAACUAGUACAUGCACUGCCCCACUAAUUAACUACUUCAUGCACAAGCUAACAACUAAUUAAUGCGUGCAUGGCUGCGGCUACCUACUGCAUGCACUAGCUAAUGGCCAUAGACUAACUCAUGCAACACAUUCACCCGCUGACCGCUACUCUACUCUAACUAAUUAGUUUAGCUAACUAAUUGAUGCACGCAAGCACCACUAACCGUGAACAAUUUAAUGUGAACACAUCACAUUUUUAGCUAUUACAUACAUGCAUGACUGCUUAGCACAUGUCCAACAUAUGGCAUGGCUCAAGCUAAUUAGCUAAUUCAACACAGGACAACAAGAUUAGUGCUAACACCCAGCACCGCCGGCCUCAGCUCGCCGCCUGACACCGACGUCUUACGCCCGAAUACUUGACGCCUCUGCCCAAUGCGGCCGGCCUCAUCUCGUCGCUGCCAGCCUCCACUCGACGCUGAUCACUGAGAGCGUGAGUAACUUAUGUUUUAUUUUGGUCAACCUCGCUAGAGAUAUAGAUACAUACAAUUAAAAAUAAUAGAGUUCAAUAGAAACCCUAAAGAUCAACAUAAAAUUAUAGAGAGAUAUGAUAGAAUAUUUAUCUUGUACUCUAAAUUUCUAUCUUCUAUUUAUCCUAUAAAUAUAGCCACAAGAGUCAGUGUAAUAUACAACAGAUCAUACGUCAUAGAUUUCUCUUCUAUCUAAUAUUUUCUACAUGUUAUUAGAGGCUAGAUCCUGAUACCAGUUGUCGAGUUUGAGUCAACGUCGACACGCCGGCGGUAGCUCGCCACCGGCGAGCCCAUCCAACAGAUCGGUGAUGCCUAUGCAUGCUCGGUGCCAAGAACGUUCCAUCGUUCAACGUCUUCAAUCAUUCAACAGCAAGAUGGCAAGGACGUCGUCCAUCGAUCAUCAUCUUUUUCAACGCGGCAGAAGCAGAGAUGUGACGACAUCAAUCAACCAACAAGUAAGCACUAUAUCAAGCGGUCGACGUCUUCACCGAAUCUUCACAUCCGUAU